Molecule: long non-coding RNA, 866 nt
Filed under: Homo sapiens (human)
Lineage: Eukaryota; Metazoa; Chordata; Mammalia; Primates; Hominidae
Description: HSALNT0314306
Source: RNAcentral
UCCCAAGUAGUUGGGACUACAGGCCCACACUACUAUACCCAGACCAACAGAUAUUCUAGCAUAUAAGAAAUGUGAUGCUCUCUGUACAUUGAAGAGUUGGUCUAAUAUUUGGCCUGGUGGAUACAGAAAUUGCCUGUCUGCUCCGCUCUGGUUGAAGAAACCAGUCCGACUGUCUCUGAGGCUAUGGAGCAGUCCAUCAAGAAUGAAAGCCCUCGGCUGGCACGUUGGCUCACACCUGUAAUACCAGCGCUUUGGGAGGCUGAGGCAGGUGGAUCACUUGAAGUCACGAAUUCGACACCAGCAUGGCCAACAUGGUGAAACCCUCUCUCUACAGAAAAUAGAAAAAUUAGCUGGGCCUAGUGACGUGUGCCUGUAAUCCCAGCUACUCAGGAGGCUGAGGCAGGAGAAUCACUUGAUCCUGGGAGGCAGAGCUUGCAGUGGGGAGCUGAGAUCACACCACUGCCUUCCAGCCUGGGCGACAGAGUGAGACUCUCUCAAAAAAAAAAAAAAAAAAAAAAAAAAGAAAGUCCUCAUGAUGGCCUCAAGCACAUUGGUCCCUGAAGAGAGUCAAGGAAGGCCCACUUUACUCUGCACUGCAAAGCAGGCAGGUGGACAGGAUGAGAAGUGGAUUCAGUGAGAGGCAUUGACUCAAAGGAUUUUCUGCCUAAUGGUCGGUUCAGCAGAAGAUUAAACUGAGCACAGCAUCCUGUUCCCUCAAACUAUCUGGUUGGAUCUCUCUCUCUCUGCCACCCAGGCCAGAGCGCAGUUGAUGCAGGUCAGGGGAGCCCCCCAGUGGAGCAUAGUGUGUCCAGAACUGGUGGGUUGUUGGUCUCACUGACUUCAAGAAUGAAGCCACGGACCCUCGG